AGCAAAGCGCUCAAAGGAUGAUGUUUCUUCUCAAGCUCCAACUAGAGUGUAUGGAACCUCAAGUUUGACGCGUCAACCUUCACUUGAAGAACAUUCUAUGCCUCAUAUGGAGCCACCACUACACCAUUCUCAAGCACCCGCUCCAUCAUUUGGUAGUAUGUCAAUUGUUCUUGUUUUAACUCAAGUUGUGUCUAUUCAAAAAUUCUGAUUUUAAUAUAUUUUUCACACUUGAACAGUCGUGUAUCCUAAAGCUAAGCGCUCAAAGAAUGAUGUUUCUUCUCAAGCCCCAACU
Molecule: long non-coding RNA, 292 nt
Filed under: Lotus japonicus
Lineage: Eukaryota; Viridiplantae; Streptophyta; Magnoliopsida; Fabales; Fabaceae
Description: long non-coding RNA (LJAP_LNC000879)
Source: RNAcentral